GACGAACGCUGGCGGCGUGCUUAACACAUGCCAGUCGAACGGAAAGGCCCUGCUUUUGUGGGGUGCUCGAGUGGCGAACGGGUGAGUAACACGUGAGUAACCUGCCCUUGACUUUGGGAUAACUUCAGGAAACUGGGGCUAAUACCGGAUAGGAGCUCCUGCUGCAUGGUGGGGGUUGGAAAGUUUCGGCGGUUGGGGAUGGACUCGCGGCUUAUCAGCUUGUUGGUGGGGUAGUGGCUUACCAAGGCUUUGACGGGUAGCCGGCCUGAGAGGGUGACCGGCCACAUAGGGACUGAGAUACGGCCCAGACUCCUACGGGAGGCAGCAGUGGGAAUAUUGCACAAUGGGCGGAAGCCUGAUGCAGCAACGCCGCGUGCGGGAUGACGGCCUUCGGGUUGUAAACCGCUUUCGCCUGUGACGAAGCGUGAGUGACGGUAAUGGGUAAAGAAGCACCGGCUAACUACGUG
Molecule: ribosomal RNA, 467 nt
Filed under: uncultured bacterium
Lineage: Bacteria
Description: partial 16S ribosomal RNA
Rfam family: Bacterial small subunit ribosomal RNA
Source: RNAcentral